CUUAAUGAAACAUCAUUUUUGUCUCCUAGGUUUAUAGUGCAAUGACUGAUAACACAACACAGGACCUGUAUAUUUUCCAAUGUCGCCCUGGAUCUCUGCCUGUCCCUACAGCCUUUUGGGGAGGUUGUGGUGUAUAGUGUGAUGAUGUUUUCUAAUGCAAUAACCAGGAGUUUCUUUUGGGGUAGUUGGAGUUGGAGUGUCACAAUGUAUCUACAUCCAUCCAGCAUGUAGGCAGCUCUGGGCUGUCAGCCUGCAGCUCAGCAAAGACGACUCUGCGCAAGCCGAAGAGAAGCAGUAUAUUUUAUGCCUCUUGUAUGUAAUGGAAUCAUGGUUUUUUUUAGUUUCAGAAGGGAGCACACUGACUUGCUGUCAUCAGAAUGCCCUUGGAGCCACGAGCAGAUGAAAAUUGCUCACAUGUCUAAUUUUUUACUGAGUUAAGACUUAAUGAAAGGCUUAAAUGGACUACAAAUUGCUGAAUAUAUUGCAGACCUGUGGCACUCCUGAUUUACUUCUGUGACAGCUUAAGACCUAAAUUUACAAUUUUAGUACCAAUCGUAAAUUUCUCAGGCUUCUUUACAGUAUCUUUGAAAGACAGAGUGGAGUAGCUGCUAUUCUACUUUUAAGAAUGCAUAUUUUUUUGUGGAAUUUGUGAAGCCGUUUUGUACUUUGUUCUAAUAUUGUUCUUUGUCACUGGGUCAUGGAAUAAGUAAGGGAAUGGGAGGCUAUGUAACUUUUAUGUAGGUAUCUGAA
This is a non-coding RNA of Paramormyrops kingsleyae, 750 nucleotides long. NCBI's taxonomy places the organism in Eukaryota, Metazoa, Chordata, Actinopteri, Osteoglossiformes, Mormyridae. The record is from RefSeq and is a predicted model, not a curated record.